This 301-nucleotide ribosomal RNA is filed under the name uncultured bacterium. RNAcentral describes it as "partial 16S ribosomal RNA". It matches the Rfam family "Bacterial small subunit ribosomal RNA", at positions 509 to 807 of the family's 1533-position model. The record is from RNAcentral.
CAGUAGCCGCGGGAAUACAGAGGGUGCGAGCAUUAAUCGGAUUUACUGGGCGUAAAGCGUGCGUAGGCGGCUUUUUAAGUCGGAUGUGAAAUCCCUGAGCUUAACUUAGGAAUUGCAUUCGAUACUGGGAAGCUAGAGUAUGGGAGAGGAUGGUAGAAUUCCAGGUGUAGCGGUGAAAUGCGUAGAGAUCUGGACGAAUACCGAUGGCGAAGGCAGCCAUCUGGCCUAAUACUGACGCUGAGGUACGAAAGCAUGGGGAGCAAACAGGAUUAGAUACCCCCGUAGUCCCUGUCUCUUAUAC